UACGAAGGGUGCAAGCGUUAUUCGGAAUCAUUGGGCGUAAAGCGCGCGCAGGCGGAUUAAUAAGUCAGGUGUGAAAUCUCGAGGCUCAACCUCGAAACUGCGCCUGAAACUAUUAGUCUAGAGUGUUGGAGGGGGUAGGGGAAUUUCACGUGUAGGGGUAAAAUCCGUAGAGAUGUGAAGGAACACCGGAGGCGAAGGCGCCUACCUGGACAACUACUGACGCUGAGGCACGAAAGCGUGGGGAGCAAACAGG
This 253-nucleotide ribosomal RNA is filed under the name uncultured bacterium. Its description in RNAcentral is "partial 16S ribosomal RNA". It matches the Rfam family "Bacterial small subunit ribosomal RNA", at positions 524 to 776 of the family's 1533-position model. The record is from RNAcentral.